UAAUAGUGUAUAUUAAAGUUGUUGCAGUUAAAAAGCUCGUAGUUGAAUGUUGGUGUCGAACGAGCGGUCAGCUUCGGCUGUACUGCUCUCUCGACUCCUUCCUUCUGUGGACUACGUCGCACUUUACUGUGUGGCGCUAGGACGCAGAUCGUUUACUGUGAAAAAAUUAGAGUGUUCAAAGCAGGCCGUACGCUUGAAUACAUUAGCAUGGAAUAAUGGAAUAGGACGUCGGGCCUAUUUUGUUGGUUCUAGGACCGUCGUAAUGAUUAAUGGGGACAGUUGGGGCCGUUUAUAUUCCGUAGUCAGAGGUGAAAUUCUUGGAUUUGUUAAAGACGGACUACUGCGAAAGCAUUUGCCAAGGAUGUCUUCAUUGA
RNAcentral lists this ribosomal RNA (374 nucleotides) under uncultured eukaryote. Its description in RNAcentral is "partial 18S ribosomal RNA". It matches the Rfam family "Eukaryotic small subunit ribosomal RNA", at positions 592 to 976 of the family's 1831-position model. The record is from RNAcentral.